Long non-coding RNA from Orcinus orca (killer whale), 3344 nucleotides. RefSeq lists it as uncharacterized. The transcript is spliced from 3 exons. NCBI's taxonomy places the organism in Eukaryota, Metazoa, Chordata, Mammalia, Artiodactyla, Delphinidae. The record is from RefSeq and is a predicted model, not a curated record.
ACAAAACGCGGCUGGGUGUCAGGGCUCGGCCGUAUCACUAAGUCCCUGCAUGAUGUGUGAUGACAUCAGUACUCCAUUCCUCAAUGCGCACGAGAGUCACCUGGAAAGCUUUCAAAAUCUCUCUUAUGCUCCACCUCCAAACAACAGCACCAGAAUCUCCGGGGAAAGGACCCAAGCAGAGGUAUUUACUAGACGGUUCAUGGUGAUUUAGUACUAGAUGAUCUCAAAGGUCCCUUCUGACUUGGAAAUCCUCUGCAUCUAUGAAAUCUUCACCCACCGCCCCUUCCUGAGGGUUGAGGGGGACAUUACAGAGGGUGCACGUAACCGGAGGGAGGCACGGACGAUGCCUCGCCAGGACCUGCUGCUCCACUCUGGCAGUGUCUUUGUGAAAAUAGUAACUUUUUUUUUUUCUCGGACUGAUUUAUGUGACAGUUGGAAAGCAGCCCCCAGAACAGGCUGUUCCUCCCCUCGGUACUAUUAACAUAAAUAUGUGCGCAGGGCCUUCGGCUCCUGCUUCUCUCUGUGUAAACGAGGCUUAAAGGGGCCGUGAAAGCCUGAAGAGAAACCAGAGGAGAGGAAAUGUCAUUAGAGGCACAAGAAUGAAAAGGGGAAAAGGACAGGACGUUGCUAAGAGACAAUGUCAAGCUGGGCCAUGGGAUUAACAGCCGGUAUCAAAGCAAGUCCUUCUUAAUGUUUACUCCAGGGUGAAAUGCACAGAAAAGCAUCAUUACAAGGUGGUCUCACCUGCAUUGUGAACCUGUGGCAGAGACCCCAAGAGGGACACUGUAAUGAGACUUUCGUAAACUACCCCGGAGUCCUGAGCUGGCUGCGUGCUCCGGUGCCUUACGAGAGGGAAAACUGUCAUUGGGAGCAGCAUCAAGGGUGGCACCCCAUGACCAUGCAGGCUCACGAAGAGGGAGCAAUGACCCAGGUCACACAGAGUCAAGGCCAAACACUGAACCCCGAGUUCCUCAGGGCCCUUCCUGGUGACUCCUUUACAUUCAUCACACUUUGAGGAGUUCCAUACGGAAGGCCCAUUCUGGAAUGAGUGUGGUGAGGAGGGCAUCGUUCCAGCGUUUCUCAAAUGGUACCCAGCAGAUGCCUUGGCAUUAAAUCAGCCUCAUCUCCAAGACCAAGAGUGGCUGGACCUCAAAGAGCCGUUGAGGAAGCUGAGAACAAAGGCAGCUGGAGUUUGACUUUAUCCCACCCAGAUGACCCCUCUGUGAGCCUCUGGUUAUUCUAUCCUGAACGCGAGGUGAACGUGUAGAAGUCUGGGGUCAUGGCCUAGGAAGCCAAGUUCUUGUGGGACAAUAAAAAUCCGAACCAACUGCUGGCCCUGCUGGGUCCAUCUGUUAUUGGAAUUAAGUUCCCCAUUUCAUUUCAUUCAAACUGAAGAAACUUUCUGGCACGGUGUCAGGUUUCAAACAGAAAUGUCAGCCAAGGGCUCAUGAGGCCAAGGUCUGAUCAGAGCAAACUUGAAUCAAUUUACGCAUUAGGUAAAAAUUCAUAGGCAAGUUAGUGGUCUGGCGAGCCUUUCUGUUAAAAAUAUCCCUCAUUUGCAUGUUCUGGACUAAAAACCUGCAAGAAGCUGUGUAUGAAAUCAACAUCAGAGGCCAACAUGACUUCUACCCGACGUGAGCGUACAUCUGUAGAUGAAUGUGAAGGGCCCACUAGAGUGAUUUUCUUCCCCAGUAUAAGAGCAGAAAAGAACUUGAACAUAUUCUCAACUCCAAUUUAAACCUUGAUCUCUGACCCAAUCAAAGCUAACCCUAUUAAUAAUAAUAGUAACCUUUAUGGAAUAUUUAGUAUGUGCCAGGCUCUAUGUUAUGUACCUUACAUUUACUGAUAAAUUAAUUCUGUUGAUGAUUCUACAAAGUAAGUUUUAUUAUUUGCUCUAUUUGAUAGAAAAUGAAACAGAGAAACAGAGGUUCAGAAACAUGCUCUAGCUUACAAACCAGCAGAGACUAGGAUUAAAAGCUGCACAGUUCACCCCUAGAAUCUCUGCCCUUAAUGCUGGUCAGUAACUGGUUGGGUAAUGAACCCAACAUGCAGGAAUAUAAACUGAUGCUCGUUGCAUGUUUAGUUGUAAUCUCAUACCCCAUACAGCAUUUUUCAGAACUCAGACCCCAUUUUGGUGGCAAAGAUAGGUCAGCCACAUAGCAGAACUUGUUUUUCUCCUUGCAGUUGCUGGUAUAAAGAGAAAGCACUAGGAUAAUUAACUGGAAAACCCAGUCUCCAAAUGCUUUUGUUUUGUAUCAAUACACUAGACAGGUCAAGAUUCUGCUUAUCUCCUAGGUUGUUGAAGAAAUGGUUAAAUCACUUCUUUACACCCUUAGCAUUUGGGCAGAGAUAUAACCAGGGAUUGUCUGGGAUUCCUACAGUCUGAAGACCAGGAUAAGGAAUAACAUGGCCAAAGAAGGUGCCCUGCUGGGGGGUUGGCAGGUCUCAUCCACCCACUAAAUUAUUUCCAACUAUACACUCGCUCUUUGCAGCAAGCUUCAAUCAAACCAUAACCUAAUCAACAAAUAUAUGGAAAGAAGCCCAACUCCAGUAAUAGGGAUGGGAACACAAAUUAAAUGACAUUUUUCACAUAUCAUUUUGGGAAAAACAUCAAAGUUUGAUAAUAUCAAUCAUGGCAAUGUUGAGGGGAAGCAGGUAAGCAUCUGCUGAGGAAAGUGUAAAUUGAUGAAAGAUUGCUGAUGACAGUGUGAACUGGACGGGCCAUUUUGGAAGUAUUCAAAAUGUACACAACCUGUGAGCCAGUAAGCCCCUUUUACAUAAGGGGCCACCAAGAAACAUUUUUACAUAUUCAUAAGGAUGCUCAUUGCACCAUCAUUCAUGGUCUCAAAAAAUUAGCAAUAGAUGAAAUGUAACAAUCCAUACCAUGGAAUGCUAUACAGCUCUUAAAAAGGUAGAUCUCCUCUAUAUACUGCCAAUAAAAAAUGCUUAAGACAUACUCUUAAUUUUAAAAAUCCACAGAGCAUGGUAUCAUCCAAUGAUAUUAUCACACACACACACACACACACGAAACCAAUAUAUUAAAAAAAAAAAAAAAGGAAGGGAAAAACACACAUCAAACUCAAAGACUAGAUUACCUCUGGGGAAGCUCCAGGGUUUGAGAGCAGUGGUCAUGGGUACCACCCAUCAUUCAUUCAUUCAACAGAUAAUGUCAGGCACCUUCCAUGCCAGGCACUGAUGCUGCCUUGUGAUCAAAAAACAGACAAAAAUCCUUGCAACCAUGACAUCUUCAUCCUAGCAUUACUGUUUUGUAAGGUAUGUUUAUAGAACAAGAAUGUAUUUAUAUAUUACCUCUGGAAAUAAAAAUAAGUAAAAACAAAAGCAAA